This 247-nucleotide unclassified non-coding RNA is filed under the name Hevea brasiliensis (rubber tree). Lineage: Eukaryota; Viridiplantae; Streptophyta; Magnoliopsida; Malpighiales; Euphorbiaceae. The record is from RNAcentral.
GACGAACUAGUGGAGCGUCUAUUAUUGCAUUGGGCAGUAGCUACAGAUUAUAGUUGCUAGCAUCUUCCGUGGUUUCAAUUUAUUGGACUAUGGUUAAAUAAUUGAUGCAAAUUCUUAGGAGAUUGGCACGGAAUACAAGCAAUGGUGAGCAUUCAGAAGCAUGGUCAAUUUGUAUAGGGUUUUUAAACUGAACCAACACAACCGAAAUACAUGGAAGUAAGACUGAACUGAAUUGAUUAAGUUCUUA